AACGCACCUUGCGCUCCUUGGUAUUCCGAGGAGCAUGCCUGUUUGAGUGCCAUGAAAUCAUCAACCCUUCAAUUCCUUGUUGAAUUGUAAGGUGCUUGGAUUCUGAACGUUGCUGGCUUGAAGCGGCCUCGGCUGCUUCGAAAGCGUAGCUCGUUCGUAAUACAUUAGCAUCUCAAUUUCGAGUAUUCGGAUUGACUCGGCGUGAUAGACUUAUCGUCGGGGAUCUCUGUAAAAGGAGAGCCAUGUGGUGAGCUGGCCGCCUCUAACCAUGACCUAGUCAAUCUGUCUCUUAGACCUCAGAUCAGGCAGGACUACCCGCUGAACUUAA
This 328-nucleotide ribosomal RNA is filed under the name uncultured fungus. RNAcentral describes it as "eukaryotic LSU rRNA". The stretch from base 1 to 52 matches the Rfam family "5.8S ribosomal RNA", at positions 103 to 154 of the family's 154-position model. Lineage: Eukaryota; Fungi. The record is from RNAcentral.